Molecule: ribosomal RNA, 404 nt
Filed under: Verrucomicrobiota bacterium
Lineage: Bacteria; Pseudomonadati; Verrucomicrobiota
Description: Verrucomicrobia bacterium partial 16S ribosomal RNA
Rfam family: Bacterial small subunit ribosomal RNA
Source: RNAcentral
UGGGGAAUAUUGCACAAUGGGGGAAACCCUGAUGCAGCGACGCCGCGUGAGCGAUGAAGGCUUUCGAGUCGUAAAGCUCUGUCCUAUGGGAAGAUAAUGACGGUACCAUAGAAGAAAGCCCCGGCUAAUUACGUGCCAGCAGCCGCGGUAAUACGUAAGGGGCGAGCGUUGUCCGGAAUUAUUGGGCGUAAAGAGUGCGUAGGCGGCAAAUUAAGUCAGAUGUGAAAACUAAGGGCUCAACCCAUAGAUUGCAUCUGAAACUGAUAUGCUUGAGUCAAGGAGAGGAAAGUGGAAUUCCUAGUGUAGCGGUGGAAUGCGUAGAUAUUAGGAGGAAUACCGGUGGCGAAGGCGACUUUCUGGACUUGAACUGACGCUGAGGCGCGAAAGCCAGGGGAGCGAACGGG